Molecule: ribosomal RNA, 301 nt
Filed under: uncultured bacterium
Lineage: Bacteria
Description: partial 16S ribosomal RNA
Rfam family: Bacterial small subunit ribosomal RNA
Source: RNAcentral
CAGCCGCCGCGGGAAUACGAAGGGUGCAAGCGUUAAUCGGAAUUACUGGGCGUAAAGCGUGCGUAGGCGGUGAGUUAAGUCUGCUGUGAAAUCCCCGGGCUCAACCUGGGAAUGGCAGUGGAUACUGGCUCGCUAGAGUGUGUCAGAGGAUGGUGGAAUUCCCGGCGUAGCGGUGAAAUGCGUAGAGAUCGGGAGGAACAUCAGUGGCGAAGGCGGCCAUCUGGGACAACACUGACGCUGAGGCACGAAAGCGUGGGGAGCAAACAGGAUUAGAGACCCCCGUAGUCCCUGUCUCUUAUAC